GCGAAACCCAGUGAUCUACCCAUGGCCAGGUUGAAGCUCUGGUAACACAGAGUGGAGGACCGAACCAGUUGACGUUGAAAAGUCUUUGGAUGAGCUGUGGGUAGGGGUGAAAGGCUAAUCAAACUGGGAAAUAGCUCGUUCUCCCCGAAAUGCAUUUAGGUGCAGCCUCAAGUUUAGUUUAGUAGAGGUAGAGCGACUGGUUGGAUGCGGGGGCUUCACCGCCUACCAAAUCCUGUCAAACUCCGAAUGCUACUAAAUAUACUUGGGAGUGAGGGCAUGGGUGCUAAGGUCCUUGUCCGAAAGGGAAACAACCCAGACUAUCUGCUAAGGCCCCCAAAUGUAUGCUAAGUUGAUCAAACGUGGUCUGAUUGCUUUGACAGCUAGGAUGUUGGCUUGGAAGCAGCCAUUCAUUUAAAGAGUGCGUAACAGCUCACUAGUCGAGCGAUCGGGCGUGGAUAAUAAUCGGGCAUUAAGCAUACUGCCGAAGCAAUAGUCUCACAAUUUUAUUGUGAGAGGUAGGGGAGCAUUCUAGUUGCGCUGAA
This 542-nucleotide ribosomal RNA is filed under the name Skeletonema marinoi. RNAcentral describes it as "partial Bacterial large subunit ribosomal RNA". It matches the Rfam family "Bacterial large subunit ribosomal RNA", at positions 715 to 1254 of the family's 2925-position model. The record is from RNAcentral. Lineage: Eukaryota; Bacillariophyta; Thalassiosirophyceae; Thalassiosirales; Thalassiosiraceae.